This 400-nucleotide ribosomal RNA is filed under the name phytoplankton environmental sample. RNAcentral's name for it is "partial small subunit ribosomal RNA". It matches the Rfam family "Eukaryotic small subunit ribosomal RNA", at positions 587 to 985 of the family's 1831-position model. The record is from RNAcentral.
AGCUCUAGCAGCGUAUAUUUAUAUUGCUGCGUUUAAAAAGCUCGUAGUUGAAGCGUCAGACGCGGGAGGGCGGACGGCCGCACUGGUCGCUCUCGCCCGACCGAGCCAGGCGCAGAGGGCGCGCGUCGCUUGCACUUCGCCGUGUGAGCGCGCCGCCGCUGCACGUUCACCUUGAAGAAAUUGAACCGCUUAGAGGGGGCGAGCAGCUUGAACAGCUCAGCAUGGUAUGAUGGAACAUGGGCUCGUACUCAUUUUGUUGGUUAGAGAGUCGGCGAGCCAAUGAUUAACAGGGACUGCCGGGGGCAUUAGUACUCGGACGGGAGAGGUGAAAUUCAAGGAUCGUCCGAAGACUCCCUACUGCGAAAGCAUUUGCCAAGAAUGUUUUCAUUAAUCAAGAACG